This 474-nucleotide ribosomal RNA is filed under the name uncultured soil bacterium. Its description in RNAcentral is "bacterial SSU rRNA". It matches the Rfam family "Bacterial small subunit ribosomal RNA", at positions 94 to 608 of the family's 1533-position model. The record is from RNAcentral.
AGUGGCGAAUGGGUGAGUAACACGUAGGCGAACUGCCCCAAAGUGGGGAAUAACAGCUCGAAAGGGCUGCUAAUACCGCAUGUGGUCUUUUAGAGUAAAGCAGCGCUUUGGGAGGGGCCUGCGGCCCAUCAGGUAGUUGGUGGGGUAACGGCCUACCAAGCCGAUGACGGGUAGGGGGCCUGAGAGGGUGGUCCCCCACACUGGCACUGAAACACGGGCCAGACACCUACGGGUGGCAGCAGUAGGGAAUAUUGCACAAUGGGCGAAAGCCUGAUGCAGCAACGCCGCGUGCGCGAUGAAGGCCUUCGGGUCGUAAAGCGCUUUUCGGGGGGAUGAGGGACAGUACCCCCGGAAUAAGUCUCGGCUAACUACGUGCCAGCAGCCGCGGUAAAACGUAGGAGGCGAGCGUUAUCCGGAUUUACUGGGCGUAAGCGCGUGCAGGCGGCUGGUAAGUCGGGCGUGAAAUCUCUCGGC